RNAcentral lists this ribosomal RNA (253 nucleotides) under uncultured bacterium. RNAcentral's name for it is "partial 16S ribosomal RNA". It matches the Rfam family "Bacterial small subunit ribosomal RNA", at positions 524 to 776 of the family's 1533-position model. The record is from RNAcentral.
UACGAAGGGGGCUAGCGUUGCUCGGAAUCACUGGGCGUAAAGCGCACGUAGGCGGCUUUCUAAGUCAGGGGUGAAAUCCUGGAGCUCAACUCCAGAACUGCCUUUGAUACUGGGAAGCUCGAGUCCGGAAGAGGUAAGUGGAACUCCGAGUGUAGAGGUGAAAUUCGUAGAUAUUCGCAAGAACACCAGUGGCGAAGGCGGCUCACUGGCCCGGUACUGACGCUGAGGUGCGAAAGCGUGGGGAGCAAACAGG